Molecule: unclassified non-coding RNA, 305 nt
Filed under: plant metagenome
Description: partial contains 5.8S ribosomal RNA, internal transcribed spacer 2, and large subunit ribosomal RNA
Rfam family: 5.8S ribosomal RNA (bases 1-105)
Source: RNAcentral
GAAAUGCGAUAAGUAGUGUGAAUUGCAGAAUUCAGUGAAUCAUCGAAUCUUUGAACGCACAUUGCGCCCUUUGGUAUUCCUUAGGGCAUGCCUGUUCGAGCGUCAUCUAAACCUUCAAGCCCUGCUUGGUGUUGGGUGCCUGUCCCGCCUCCGCGCGCGGACUCACCUCAAAUCCAUUGGCGGCCCCCGCGUCGGCCACGUGCGCAGCAGAAACGCGAACUCGUGAGCCCGUCCGGGCGGCUCCCAGAAGCUACACCCACCCAGUUUGACCUCGGAUCAGGUAGGGAUACCCGCUGAACUUAAGC